UACGUAGGUUGCAAGCGUUGUCCGGAAUUAUUGGGCGUAAAGCGCGCGCAGGCGGUCCUUUAAGUCUGAUGUGAAAGCCCACGGCUCAACCGUGGAGGGUCAUUGGAAACUGGGGGACUUGAGUGCAGAAGAGGAAAGCGGAAUUCCACGUGUAGCGGUGAAAUGCGUAGAGAUGUGGAGGAACACCAGUGGCGAAGGCGGCUUUCUGGUCUGUAACUGACGCUGAGGCGCGAAAGCGUGGGGAGCAAACAGG
This 253-nucleotide ribosomal RNA is filed under the name uncultured bacterium. RNAcentral's name for it is "partial 16S ribosomal RNA". It matches the Rfam family "Bacterial small subunit ribosomal RNA", at positions 524 to 776 of the family's 1533-position model. The record is from RNAcentral.